AAGGCUGUACUUUUGGCAGGAUCAUUUCUGUAGUUAGUCUUCUUUAUUUAAAAUUUUUUGGAAAUCGACCCAUGAUGACGAGGUAUAUCGUUUUAUCUGACAGCGUGAGGUUUAUGAACUUCAUUUCUAAUAUUGUGUUGCGGCAUAUUAGAAACGAUGUUUCUUCGAAAAUCGCUCGCUUGCAACGGAUAAAACGACUUUGAGUGGU
RNAcentral lists this small nucleolar RNA (208 nucleotides) under Bactrocera tryoni. RNAcentral's name for it is "small nucleolar RNA U3". It matches the Rfam family "Small nucleolar RNA U3". Rfam says of the family: Small nucleolar RNAs (snoRNAs) are involved in the processing and modification of rRNA in the nucleolus. There are two main classes of snoRNAs: the box C/D class, and the box H/ACA class. The record is from RNAcentral. Lineage: Eukaryota; Metazoa; Arthropoda; Insecta; Diptera; Tephritidae.